This 433-nucleotide ribosomal RNA is filed under the name uncultured bacterium. RNAcentral's name for it is "partial 16S ribosomal RNA". It matches the Rfam family "Bacterial small subunit ribosomal RNA", at positions 29 to 507 of the family's 1533-position model. The record is from RNAcentral.
AACGAACGCUGGCGGCAUGCCUAACACAUGCAAGUCGAACGAGACCUUCGGGUCUAGUGGCGCACGGGUGCGUAACGCGUGGGAACCUGCCCUUAGGUUCGGAAUAACUCCCCGAAAGGGGUGCUAAUACCGGAUAAUGUCUUCGGACCAAAGAUUUAUCGCCUUUGGAUGGGCCCGCGUUGGAUUAGCUAGUUGGUAGGGUAAAAGCCUACCAAGGCGACGAUCCAUAGCUGGUCUGAGGGGAUGAUCAGCCACACUGGGACUGAGACACGGCCCAGACUCCUACGGGAGGCAGCAGUGGGGAAUAUUGGACAAUGGGCGAAAGCAUGAUCCAGCAAUGCCGCGUGAGUGAUGAAGGCCUUAGGGUUGUAAAGCUCUUUUACCCGGGAUGAUAAUGACAGUACCGGGAGAAUAAGCUCCGGCUAACUCCGUG